This 1358-nucleotide small RNA is filed under the name Rattus norvegicus (Norway rat). Its description in RNAcentral is "uncharacterized LOC108351971". Lineage: Eukaryota; Metazoa; Chordata; Mammalia; Rodentia; Muridae. The record is from RNAcentral.
UAUUGAUUCUGGCUAUAAAUGGGCCUAAAUUUUUCAUAUUGAUCAUAAGUCCUUCUCUGUGCAGACUCAAGUUUGUUUUUGAUUCCUGGAAAUCAUAUUGUUGUUUUCUGACAACAGCCUCCCCUGGGCAUGGAUGACAUCACACAAGACUAUGUUUCUCCAGAUCUGUAACAGGUCACAAAGGCAACUGUGAGGGAAAGAAAGGGCAUGUGACCUCUCAAAGUGAAACUCAAGACCUAUGAGUAGAGUGGCUCUCAGAACGGCUGUUGGUCCUUGUUUCUACAUGAAGCUGAUACCCUCAUAGACAUGCCAAAGACUGGCAGCAUCAUAGCGGUCAGUGUCAAACCAGAGAAAGCCCUUGAGAUGUCAGCAGCUCCAGUCAGGUAGCACCCGGGGUACCAGACGAAAUGUGCCUGCCUCCUAUACCAUCUUAAAUGAAGCCAAAUCUGAACACCACAGUACGAGCCACGCUGGUAGAACUUCUGGUCCACACUGCAAUGCUACAGAUUAGACGGCGAACAUCCAUUCUUAGUCUGCACUAAAAUGUUCACAGAGCAUAUAAUCAAGUCUUUCAAAAACACAGACAUGAAGAGGCAGUCUCGUGUAAGCUUUAGAUGAGUGUUCCUCCAAUGCCAACUUGAAGUCACGAACAGUGCAAUCUACUCAUUCUAGGGCAUAAAACAUGUACUCCGCCAGCACAGAAAUACUUCCACAUGCCAGAAAUAAAGAACAGAUGUGCCGCAUGCCUACUGUGUGCCAGGUUCUGUGCUGAGCUCUCGACUACCUUCCAAAGAGAACCCCUAAUAUGGAUGAGAAAGAUGAGAAAGACAAAACACAGAGAAGCCAACUUGUCCAGAGUCCCACAGUUGAUAAGUAAAACGUAAAGGCUCCUACCCAACCAUGCUAUCCCAAAUCCCAACCUUGAAACUGAAAGUAGCUUUGUACCACUUCCUUAUCUCUUUAAGAAGAUAGAGAUUGUCUUUACUGUCAUGUUAAUGCACUACCAAUUGUAAACCAUUGGAAAGCUAUUUUGUGACUGAGAGGUUAAGGCCACCACAAGACCAUGGCCCACAGAAUCAACUAACCAGGGCUCACAGGGACUCACAAAGGCUGAUGACAAUGAGGGAGGGAGCCAGUAUGGAUCUGACCUAGGUCCUAUGCAUAUAUACUAUGGUUGUACAGUCUGCUGUUCACGUAGGCUUUCUAACAGUGGGAGCAGAGGCUGUGUGCCUAGUCUUAUUGUAAUGUGUUAUGGAAUGUUUGGUAUAUAUCCCUGGGAAGCCAGCUCUUUCCUGAAGGGAAGCAGAGAGUGGAUUUGGAAGAAGUGGGAGGAAGGGAAGAGGAACUAGGAGGAGUGG